RNAcentral lists this ribosomal RNA (208 nucleotides) under uncultured bacterium. RNAcentral describes it as "partial 16S ribosomal RNA". It matches the Rfam family "Bacterial small subunit ribosomal RNA", at positions 129 to 334 of the family's 1533-position model. The record is from RNAcentral.
CCCUCGGUGGGGAAGUAACUAGUCGAAAGAUUAGCUAAUACCGCAUAAUGCAGCGGCUCGACAUCGAGACAGUUGUUAAUGCAGAAAUGCGCCUGAGGAGGAGCCUGCGUCUGAUUAGCUAGUUGGUGAGGUAAUGGCUCACCAAGGCUGCGAUCAGUAGCUGGUCUGAGAGGACGGCCAGCCACAAUGGCACUGAAACACGGGCCAU